GACGAACGCUGGCGGCGUGCCUAAUACAUGCAAGUCGAACGCACUCUCGUUUAGAUUGAAGGAGCUUGCUCCUGAUUGAUAAACAUUUGAGUGAGUGGCGGACGGGUGAGUAACACGUGGGUAACCUGCCCUAAAGUGGGGGAUAACAUUUGGAAACAGAUGCUAAUACCGCAUAAAACCGUAACACCGCAUGGUGUAGGGUUGAAAGAUGGUUUCGGCUAUCACUUUAGGAUGGACCCGCGGUGCAUUAGUUAGUUGGUGAGGUAAAGGCUCACCAAGACCGUGAUGCAUAGCCGACCUGAGAGGGU
RNAcentral lists this ribosomal RNA (308 nucleotides) under uncultured bacterium. RNAcentral's name for it is "bacterial SSU rRNA". It matches the Rfam family "Bacterial small subunit ribosomal RNA", at positions 28 to 301 of the family's 1533-position model. The record is from RNAcentral.